RNAcentral lists this long non-coding RNA (1108 nucleotides) under Chrysemys picta bellii (western painted turtle). Its description in RNAcentral is "lncRNA (ENSCPBG00000004250.1)". The record is from RNAcentral. Lineage: Eukaryota; Metazoa; Chordata; Testudines; Emydidae.
AGGGGCGGAGUUGGGGCGUGGGCGGGGCUGGGGGCGGGGCCUGGGGGCCGGUGGAGUGUCCUCCUUUUGGAGGCUCAAAAUAUGGUAACCCUACCAGUGUGCAGCCUGAUUACCUCAGAAGUGCCGUAACUUCAGGGCAAAUUCAGACUGCAUUGCCUGAGCAAGAUGACGUGUAGGUGAACAGCCAGCCAGAAAACGUGGUCGUGUCAAGCCUAUCUUGAGUGAAGCAGAUUGGGCAGGCUCCAGCGUGCUCCAAAUGUCAGUAGGAAAGAGGAAUUCUUGCGGAGUUUGCAGCUUAGUAGAUCUUACAUUGUGGGCUUUGCCAAACACGUGUUUCCUCCCUGAAAUGACCUCUGAGGGAAGACUGAAGAAAAUUGGGUUUGUUUCGUCCGGAAAAGAGAAGAAUGAAAGGGGACAUAACAGUCUUCAAGUACAUAAACGGUUGUUACAUGGAGGGAGAAUUGUUGUUCUUAACCUCUGAGGAUAGGACAAGAAGCAAUGGGCUUAAAUUGCAGCAGGGGAGGCUUAGGUUGGACAUUAGGAAAAACUUCUUGUCAGGGUAGUUAAGGACUGGAACAAAUUGCUUAGGGAGGGUGUGGAAUAUCAGUCAUUGGAGAUUUUUAAGAAUAAGUUAGACAGACACCUGCCAGGAAUGGUCUUGUUAUUACUUAAUCCUGCCUUGAGUGCAGGGGACUGGACUAACUGACCUAUUGAGGUCCCUUCCAGUCCUGCACGUCUGUGAUUCUGUACUUGUUCUAAAUAUGCUUUUGGAAGGAAAGUGCACUAGUGAGCAACAAGUUAGCACGUAGGUGAUUGUUAACUCUUCAUACAAAAAUUAUCCCACUUUUGGACGAUCAGAUCGUAUAGCUAUCCGAGCCCUUACAGUGCAUGUGGAAAGUUGCAAUAUAUGUUACUCUUAUGCCCUGAAAUCUGGAAGACAAAAGUGAAAGAUAUUAAAGUGUUCUGCAAAACAUAGAUGUACAGGCAUUUUUUGUGUGGAUUAGAUUGAAAGAAGAAACCUCACGUAUUAGUAUUUUUCUUAAAUCAUUGACUAUUAUUUCUGUGUUCUAGAAAUAAAAAAUCCAUGAACAACCUCUCCCGUUUGGUU